GACGAACGCUGGCGGCGUGCUUAACACAUGCAAGUCGAACGGAAAGGCCCUGCUUUUGUGGGGUUCUCGAGUGGCGAACGGGUGCGUAACACGUGAGUAACCUGCCCUUCACUUUGGGAUAACUUCAGGAAACUGGGGCUAAUACCGGAUAGGAUAUCCUGCUGCAUGGUGGGGGUUGGAAAGUUUAGGCGGUUGGGGCUGGACGCGCGGCUUAUCGGCUAGUUGGUGGGGUAGUUGAUUACCCAGGCUGUGGCGGGUCCCCGGCCUGGGAGGGUGGACGGGCACAAGGGGACUACGAUAGGGAGCAGACGGCAACGUGAGGCAACAGUGGGAAAUAUUGCACAAUGGGCGGACGCGUGUGACAGAGACGUCGGGGUCGGGAUGCCGGCCUUCUGGUUGAGAACAGCUGUCGAUUGAGACGAAGCGUGAGUGACGGUACUGAGUAAAGAAGCACCGGCUAACUACGUG
This 468-nucleotide ribosomal RNA is filed under the name uncultured bacterium. RNAcentral describes it as "partial 16S ribosomal RNA". It matches the Rfam family "Bacterial small subunit ribosomal RNA", at positions 28 to 507 of the family's 1533-position model. The record is from RNAcentral.